Molecule: long non-coding RNA, 120 nt
Filed under: Dasypus novemcinctus (nine-banded armadillo)
Lineage: Eukaryota; Metazoa; Chordata; Mammalia; Cingulata; Dasypodidae
Source: RNAcentral
UCGAGGGAAAAUCUAUCUGAAAAAUUGUACGACAAAAGAUGUGCCCAUCCUAUUAAUAUUCAGUAGGAAAUGAACACUUAAGAUAAAAUGUUUUUCAUGAGAAAGGAUGGUAAUACAAAC